UUGCAGAGUAGAAGCGGCUAGUGUCUGGUGCGUCUGUUUUCAACCAGCAUGGGGCAUUGCUCUUGGG
Burkholderia sp. Leaf177 is the source of this 67-nucleotide regulatory RNA element. It matches the Rfam family "Xanthine riboswitch aptamer (NMT1 RNA)". From Rfam's summary of the family: Later it was reported as a ncRNA that recognised Xanthine. Lineage: Bacteria; Pseudomonadati; Pseudomonadota; Betaproteobacteria; Burkholderiales; Burkholderiaceae. The record is from Rfam.